GACGAACGCUGGCGGCGUGCUUAACACAUGCAAGUCGAACGGAAAGGCCCUGCUUUUGUGGGGUGCUCGAGUGGCGAACGGGUGAGUAACACGUGAGUAACCUGCCCUUGACUUUGGGAUAACUUCAGGAAACUGGGGCUAAUACCGGAUAGGAGCUCCUGCUGCAUGGUGGGGGUUGGAAAGUUUCGGCGGUUGGGGAUGGACUCGCGGCUUAUCAGCUUGUUGGUGGGGUAGUGGCUUACCAAGGCUUUGACGGGUAGCCGGCCUGAGAGGGUGACCGGCCACAUUGGGACUGAGAUACGGCCCAGACUCCUACGGGAGGCAGCAGUGGGGAAUAUUGCACAACGGGCGGAAGCCUGAUGCAGAAACGCCGCGUGCGGGAUGACGGCCUUCGGGUUGUAAACCGCUUUCGCCUGUGACGAAGCGUGAGUGACGGUAAUGGGUAAAGAAGCACCGGCUAACUACGUG
RNAcentral lists this ribosomal RNA (468 nucleotides) under uncultured bacterium. RNAcentral describes it as "partial 16S ribosomal RNA". It matches the Rfam family "Bacterial small subunit ribosomal RNA", at positions 28 to 507 of the family's 1533-position model. The record is from RNAcentral.